Molecule: unclassified non-coding RNA, 363 nt
Filed under: uncultured bacterium
Lineage: Bacteria
Description: contains 16S-23S intergenic spacer region
Source: RNAcentral
UCUCCCGUGAGGGAGCAGUCUCGCCUGACACUUGUAACAGGCAACGAGGGUUGCGUUCGUUUCCCCACUUAAGGGAACAGCUCAAGCCACGAACUGACGACGGCCAUGCAUCACCUGCCAUACACCCUCGAAGGCUUCCUAUCUUUCAAUAGGCGUGCAGUAUGGUUUCUAGCCUUGGUAAGGUUCCUCGCUUACCGACGAAUUAAGCCCCAUGAUCCACCGCUUGUGCGAGCCCCCGUCUAUUCCUUUGAGUUUUAAGCUUGCGCUCGUACUACCCAGGCGGUCCGCUUAACGCGUUAGCUACGCCACAGAGAGGGUCGAUACUCCCUAUAGCUAGCGGACAGUGUUUAGGGCGUGGACUAC